CACAGUCCCAUACUCCCAUUAUCCUCUUCGCUUCUCGCCGCCUUAUCCUCCUCUUUGGAAAUAUACUCUCAUAAAUAGCAGGCCAAACAAUCCCCGGCGUACAAUACCAUGAUAUUUGGUUCA
Molecule: long non-coding RNA, 123 nt
Organism: Ipomoea nil (Japanese morning glory)
Lineage: Eukaryota; Viridiplantae; Streptophyta; Magnoliopsida; Solanales; Convolvulaceae
Exons: 3
Source: RefSeq, a predicted model, not a curated record